AUUUCUUGUCCUUUGAUGAUGACAGAGUGAAUACCCUUCCCAUGGCUCUUUAGGGGUGCUUCUCCCACCCAGGCAGACUGGCAUCUUUAAAGUGGUAAGUGUGCACCAUCGUAGCUAAUGCCUGAGUCAAUUUUGCAAAUACAGGCUCAAUGUUAGCAGGUUCCCUCUUUGCUGCAGAUUCCUGGAGUGGACAAAAAAGGAAACACACCAUAGCCAUCUUAGUGAAUUACACAGUGCUGCUUGCCCUGGUGAGGCCGUGAUGAGGGAUAUGGGGAGGGGGCCAGGUAUGAACUGUUUUUCCCCAGGAAGAUUCUUUUCACUUCCUUUUCGGCCUACUCAAAUGUUCCUUUGACUUGAACUGAAGUCACAGCUCAAGAUGCACUUUUGACUAGGACACCUGCACAAGUUCUGACCAUCUCGCCAGUGUUCAAAAACCGCUUGUGAAAUGAAUAACCACAGCCCUGGAGGUAGACGAGACAUCUUCCCCAGCCCAGGUCCCAAGUUCCUCAUGUUCCUCUCACAUCAAUGAAGAGGCUCCUCUCUGCCCUCCAGUCCUUACAGCACUCCUAUGAAACAGAUACCAUCACCCCCCACUUAUCAGAUGAAAAAAACCAAGGCUCAGAAAAGUUCAACAACUUGCUCAAGAUCAUUAGCAGAGCUGGGAUUUGGAAACAAACAGUAGACCCCAGAGCCCCUACUUUUAAAUGCAGCUCUGCCGAGAGAUGCAGAAGGCAGGCCAGUGCCCUGUUAUCCAUGGAGGGACACGGUAGAAAGUGAGAGGCCACAGGAAGGCCAGCAGCACCUGCUCAUUGCUCUGACUCCCACGGCCCUUCCAGGCCUCUCCAGCUCCAGGCAGGGAUGGAAAUCUGCUCCUCGACAGGUUAGAGCUCUGAGGAGUCCCAGAAAGCACAGUCUCUUGCAGCCUUGAGCUCUUCCCAGCAUUGCCAGGGCAGGAAUUGCCCGAGGAUUGUCUGGGAUGCCAUCCUGGAUCAUCACCCUUCCCCGCAAACCACAGGCCCUCAACUCCUGGCUGCUGCCUCUUCCAGAAAACAUACCUGUUAGAUAAAAGGUGUGUGUGCCAGCUCACUUACCUGCUGUGGGAUCUUGCACAAGUUGCUUGAUAUCUCUGUGCCUCAGUUUCCUCACCUGACAAAUGGAGACAACCGCAUCGCCUUCCCAGGAUGCGUUACAAGAAUCCAGUGCAAAUGCUUACAAACGGAUGAGAAGCAUCCCUGCCGUAUGAGAAGCUCUCAGGAAGUGUUAGCCAUCAGCAGCAGCAGCAUUGCUGUGAUAUUUAUUAUUGAGGUUGAUGAUGGUCUUAUGUGCCUAUAUAUCCAGGUACUUGGUAGAGUGUCUGGCAUGAAUAAGCACUCAAUAAUCAUCGACUCGAUGAGGGAAUGUACUUCGAAGCUAAAUUUUUUUCCCAAGGUAUUACCCUUCCCAGGAAAAUUUAAAUUUAAACGGAAGAUCCGCACGUUGAUGACAAUGCUUAAUGCGUAAGUGGCUAAUGGUGUGGUUCCAGAUGUCUCUGGGGAAGGGAUUUAAAGUCAGUGGUUGUUUUCAUAUCUAGUCAGUCAGUUAACUCGUAAUACAGCUAUCCCUCGUCGGUAGCUCAUAGUUAUCUUCCCUAAGGUGGAAUCUCCCUCCUGAUGCCAAAGCAAUAAAGCCUUAGAAGCUAGUGUGGGCAUAAAGGAGACAAAGAAACCCUUCCAGCUGCAGGAACAAUAUUUCCUGUAUCCCCUGGGCUCCACGUCACCACAACUGGCAUAUGUGCUGAAGCUGUAAAGCCCACAUGGGCUUGUUCACUACGAGAAGGAGCAUGAGUCCUGCCCGCCAGCUGACCACAGACCCUGGCAUGACGGGGCUCUCAGACUCCAGUCCUAGACUCUCCUGGGAGAGGCUUACCCCUUCUCCACCUCGCCAGAGAACUCUGGUAAUGAAGAGUAGAAGUAUUUUAUCUAAAUGUUCCUGGACAGCUAUGCUGUGAAUCUGCUCCAGGAUCUUGGUUGGAAAACGGCUAGCCAUUUCAAGUUCAGAGGCGAGGGGUGGCCACGGGCCUGGGGGCUGCAAGAGUCCCCCCAUGGUAUCUCAUCCUACAGCUGAAACUACCUUUAUAGACAUUCUCACAUAUGCUUCCCUCAACAGAAGAGUGAGUGGGUUGGUACCUUCAUUCCUUUUUCUUUCUUUUAGAGUUCUUUUAAAAGAUUUAUUUUUACAUUGUUCAAAAUUCCAAUGGUCCUAAAGUCUAUACAGCGGGAGACCCCUCUUCUCCGUCCAUAGCCAUCCCCAUCUUCUUUGGUGCAGACAAAAAUCACUGGUUCCCUGAGAAAUGUUCUAGGGAUAUUUUAUGCAUAUACAAGCAAGUAUAUAUAGUCUUUCCCCCCUUUUCACAAAUGGAAAGCUUGCUUUACACACUGUUAUGCACCUUGCAUUUUCUCACUCCAGAAUAUAUUUUGGAGAUUAUUCGAUAUCAGUAUGUACAGACCUACAUCAUUCUUUUUGUGGCUACAUGGUAUCUUGUUAUAUAAAUUAGCUUAUUUAACAAGCCCA
This is a long non-coding RNA of Neofelis nebulosa (Clouded leopard), 2550 nucleotides long. RefSeq lists it as uncharacterized. The transcript is spliced from 4 exons. Lineage: Eukaryota; Metazoa; Chordata; Mammalia; Carnivora; Felidae. The record is from RefSeq and is a predicted model, not a curated record.